This 384-nucleotide ribosomal RNA is filed under the name uncultured bacterium. RNAcentral describes it as "bacterial SSU rRNA". It matches the Rfam family "Bacterial small subunit ribosomal RNA", at positions 30 to 415 of the family's 1533-position model. The record is from RNAcentral.
AUUGAACGCUGGCGGCAUGCCUAACACAUGCAAGUCGAACGCGAAAGUCCUUCGGGGCGAGUAGAGUGGCGGACGGGUGAGUAAUACGUGGGAAUCUACCUGGUAGUGGGGGACAACCCGGGGAAACUCGGGCUAAUACCGCAUAUGUCCUACGGGACAAAGGGGGCCUCUGCUUGCAAGCUCUCGCUACCAGAUGAGCCCACGUCCGAUUAGCUAGUUGGUAGGGUAAAGGCCUACCAAGGCGACGAUCGGUAGCUGGUCUGAGAGGAUGGCCAGCCACACUGGGACUGAGACACGGCCCAGACUCCUACGGGAGGCAGCAGUGGGGAAUAUUGGACAAUGGGCGCAAGCCUGAUCCAGCAAUGCCGCGUGUGUGAAGAAGGC